GUGGAUUAGUUACCCGGGUAGUCCACGCCGUAAACGAUGGGCACUAGGUGUUCGGGGUAUUGACCCCCUGAGUGCCGCAGCUAACGCAUUAAGUGCCCCGCCUGGGGAAUACGGCCGCAAGGUUAAAACUCAAAGGAAUUGACGGGGGCCCGCACAAGCGGUGGAGCAUGUGGUUUAAUUCGACGCAACGCGAAGAACCUUACCUGGGCUAGACAACAUCGGACAGCCCCAGAAAUGGGGUCUCCCCGCAAGGGGCCGGUGGUUCAGGUGCUGCAUGGCUGUCGACAGCU
RNAcentral lists this ribosomal RNA (290 nucleotides) under uncultured bacterium. Its description in RNAcentral is "partial 16S ribosomal RNA". It matches the Rfam family "Bacterial small subunit ribosomal RNA", at positions 773 to 1060 of the family's 1533-position model. The record is from RNAcentral.